Molecule: ribosomal RNA, 495 nt
Filed under: uncultured bacterium
Lineage: Bacteria
Description: partial 16S ribosomal RNA
Rfam family: Bacterial small subunit ribosomal RNA
Source: RNAcentral
GACGAACGCUGGCGGCGUGCCUAAUACAUGCCAGUAGAACGCUGAAGGAGGAGCUUGCUCUUCUGGAUGAGUUGCGAACGGGUGAGUAACGCGUAGGUAACCUGCCUGGUAGCGGGGGAUAACUAUUGGAAACGAUAGCUAAUACCGCAUAACAGUAGAUGUUGCAUGGCAUUUGCUUAAAAGGUGCAAUUGCACCACUACCAGAUGGACCUGCGUUGUAUUAGCUAGUUGGUGGGGUAACGGCUCACCAAGGCGACGAUACAUAGCCGACCUGAGAGGGUGAUCGGCCACACUGGGACUGAGACACGGCCCAGACUCCUACGGGAGGCAGCAGUAGGGAAUCUUCGGCAAUGGACGGAAGUCUGACCGAGCAACGCCGCGUGAGUGAAGAAGGUUUUCGGAUCGUAAAGCUCUGUUGUAAGAGAAGAACGAGUGUGAGAGUGGAAAGUUCACACUGUGACGGUAUCUUACCAGAAAGGGACGGCUAACUACGUG